UUUUUUUUACUAAGACCGACAAAUCAGGCAAUUCAAAUCUGAACACACCCAAUAAAAUCAAAAAAACAGAAUAUCACAAAAUGUUCUAGGCAAAUCCUCUCUUCAGAUCCAUAAGUUGCCACCAGAGUAAUUGGCAGCAUAAGUGGCCACCUAGUUUGCAGCACUGUUGGCCUUCCAGAAGACGUGCUUAGCCUGAAAGGCCAUUUCGUCCCCACUCAUCGACCAAAUGUUUCGAAGUAGAGAGUGGUCCCAUUCCUCCAACCCCUUCUCUAGCCACAUUGCGAGUCGCUGCGAACGGAAAAAGAAAAAGAAAAGUAGAAAUCAAUGGAAUCGAAUAUAAUAGAUGAUCAAAGAAACUACAAAUCAAGAACCCUAAAUUUUGGGAUGGUCGGAUCGAUGAUGCAGCUAGGAGGGAAAGCAGGGUUAAUCUAGUUUUUUUCUUUCUAGUGGCAUUUCUGAAAAUUUUGGAAUAGAUUGGUGGGUGUGAGGCAUCACUAAGAGGAUAAGAAAAGCCAACUUGCGCACAAAAAUGAGAAAUUAGGCUCUAUUUUAAAACGCUGCAAUUGUAAAUUUUU
Molecule: long non-coding RNA, 575 nt
Filed under: Phoenix dactylifera (date palm)
Lineage: Eukaryota; Viridiplantae; Streptophyta; Magnoliopsida; Arecales; Arecaceae
Description: long non-coding RNA (PDAC_LNC020637)
Source: RNAcentral